RNAcentral lists this ribosomal RNA (465 nucleotides) under uncultured ammonia-oxidizing beta proteobacterium. Its description in RNAcentral is "bacterial SSU rRNA". It matches the Rfam family "Bacterial small subunit ribosomal RNA", at positions 198 to 644 of the family's 1533-position model. The record is from RNAcentral. Lineage: Bacteria; Pseudomonadati; Pseudomonadota; Betaproteobacteria.
GGAGGAAAGCAGGGGAUCGCAAGACCUCGCGCUAUUAGAGUGGCCGAUGUCCGAUUAGCUAGUUGGUGGGGUAAAGGCCCACCAAGGCGACGAUCGGUAGCUGGUCUGAGAGGAUGAUCAGCCACACUGGGACUGAGACACGGCCCAGACUCCUACGGGAGGCAGCAGUGGGGAAUUUUGGACAAUGGGCGCAAGCCUGAUCCAGCCAUGCCGCGUGAGUGAAGAAGGCCUUCGGGUUGUAAAGCUCUUUCGGCCGGAACGAAAUCGUCCGGGCUAAUACCUCGGAUGGAUGACGGUACUGGAAGAAGAAGCACCGGCUAACUACGUGCCAGCAGCCGCGGUAAUACGUAGGGUGCAGGCGUUAAUCGGAAUUACUGGGCGUAAAGCGUGCGCAGGCGGCUUCCUAAGUCAGAUGUGAAAUCCCCGGGCUUAACCUGGGAACUGCGUUUGAAACUACAAGGCUAG